Molecule: ribosomal RNA, 468 nt
Filed under: uncultured bacterium
Lineage: Bacteria
Description: partial 16S ribosomal RNA
Rfam family: Bacterial small subunit ribosomal RNA
Source: RNAcentral
GACGAACGCUGGCGGCGUGCUUAACACAUGCAAGUCGAACGGAAAGGCCCUGCUUUUGUGGGGUGCUCGGGUGGCGAACGGGUGAGUAACACGUGAGUAACCUGCCCUUGACUUUGGGAUAACUUCAGGAAACUGGGGCUAAUACCGGAUAGGAGCUCCUGCUGCAUGGAGGGGGUUGGAAAGUUUCGGCGGUUGGGGAUGGACUCGCGGCUUAUCAGCUUGUUGGUGGGGUAGUGGCUUACCAAGGCUUUGACGGGUAGCCGGCCUGAGAGGGUGACCGGCGACAUGGGGACUGAGAUACGGCCCAGACUCCUACGGGAGGCAGCAGUGGGGAGUAUUGCCCAAUGGGCGGAAGCCUGAGGCAGCAACGCCGCGUGCGGGAUGACGGCCUUCGGGUUGUAAACCGCUUUCGCCUGUGACGAAGCGUGAGUGACGGUAAUGGGUAAAGAAGCACCGGCUAACUACGUG